GGCCCAGACUCCUACGGGAGGCAGCAGUGGGGAAUAUUGCACAAUGGACGCAAGUCUGAUGCAGCGACGCCGCGUGGGGGAUGAAGGCUUUCGGGUUGUAAACUCCUUUCAGUACAGAAGAAGCAUUUUUGUGACGGUAUGUGCAGAAGAAGCGCCGGCUAACUACGUGCCAGCAGCCGCGGUAAUACGUAGGGCGCGAGCGUUGUCCGGAAUUAUU
Molecule: ribosomal RNA, 217 nt
Filed under: Trueperella pyogenes
Lineage: Bacteria; Bacillati; Actinomycetota; Actinomycetes; Actinomycetales; Actinomycetaceae
Description: partial 16S ribosomal RNA
Rfam family: Bacterial small subunit ribosomal RNA
Source: RNAcentral